UACGUAGGGUGCAAGCGUUAAUCGGAAUUACUGGGCGUAAAGCGUGCGCAAGCGGUGAUGUAAGACAGUUGUGAAAUCCCCAGGCUCAACCUAGGAACUGCAUCUAUGACUGCAUCGCUGGAGUGCGGCAAAAAGGGAUGGAAUUCCGCGUGUAGCAGUGAAAUGCGUAGAUAUGCGGAGGAACACCGAUGGCGAAAGCAAUCCCCUGGGCCUGCACUAACGCUCAUGCACGAAAGCGUAGGGAGCAAACAGG
RNAcentral lists this ribosomal RNA (253 nucleotides) under uncultured bacterium. RNAcentral's name for it is "partial 16S ribosomal RNA". It matches the Rfam family "Bacterial small subunit ribosomal RNA", at positions 524 to 776 of the family's 1533-position model. The record is from RNAcentral.